Molecule: long non-coding RNA, 2851 nt
Filed under: Mus caroli (Ryukyu mouse)
Lineage: Eukaryota; Metazoa; Chordata; Mammalia; Rodentia; Muridae
Description: RIKEN cDNA 5330438I03 gene (MGP_CAROLIEiJ_G0002438.1)
Source: RNAcentral
AUUCCCGGACCCAGCUCGAGAGAGAUCGGGGUGAGCCCUCACGGGUUUCUUGGCGGGCUCCUUUUUCCUCCUCUUCUCCGAGUUGCUGUGGAAGGACAGGUCACGCCCACGGUAGGACGGGCCCCGGCUCAGCUCUCCGCGGCUCAGCUCCAGCUCGCUGUAGGGUGGCAGCGCGUCCUCAUCCGCCGCGUCGUCCUCGUCUUCGCCCUCGCUGGCCCCAGCCUUGUAUGUGGCUGGCGGCGACCAGGCAUAGUAGGAUGCGCUGCGCGGGCCCAGCUGCGCGCCCAGCUUGGACGGCGUCUCCAGGCUGCCCCCGCGGCUGCUGCUCUCCGGCCGCGCCUGGCGCUCCAGCACGCUGCUCAGGUACGAGUGAUCGUACUUGGGCGCGGUGCCCGGGGUCCGGCUCACCAGGCGCGGCAGAGGCGCAUCCUCCGGCGGCCGGCGGCGUGCGGGUGCAGGGCUGUAGGUCCAGCCGCGCUCCCCGUCUCCCGGCGGCUCGCGACUGCGUCCGCGCCCGUAGUACUCAUCCAGCGAGCCGUCCUGGUAGAAGGCACCGUGGGCCCGCGACUCCGAGCGCUCGAAGCGGCUCCCGGCCCGCGCCUCGUGGCUGUUGCCAUUGGCGCGCCGCGACCGCUGGCCGUAAGAGUCUGCGAAGGCUGCCAGUUCGUCCAUCGACACGGCCGGCACGCCCGUGGCAAAGUUCUUCCGCGACAACAUCUCGGAUUUGGAGCGCUGCUGGCUGCGGGCAGAUGGUCACUGGUUACUGCAUGGAACCCUUGCAGCGCACCCCUGGAGUUUCAGGGGCCCAGCUGAAUCUUACCCCUCAGCCCAGCAGGAUGAAUCAACUUUGGCACCUUUCGUGCUGCGAAUUCAGCCAGAGCAAUCCUGGCUCUCUCAUGAGUUUGUGUGGAAGACCAGAAUGGUUGUGUUAUCUGAAAAUACCUUGUGAUCUGUGUAGUGCCGAAACACACAGAUCAGCUUGUGAUCGUGAUGAGACCCCUGGGUGACAGCCACAUGUCUUACUUCACCCACCCUCACAACCACAGCAAACAGCAACACACAGCUCUGGUCCCAGGAGACCAGAAAUAAUUGGUAACAUAGAAAGGACUGUAUCUCUCUCUGGGGCAGGGACCAAGCUGCCUAUUAAGUCAAGAGGCCUGAGACCUCUGUAGUGGGUAAAGGAAAUGGGGGGGGGGUAACCUACUGUCCUCCAAGGAAAGAUAAUGAGUGCAGGCAUGCCAUUCAGGAAUCAAGCUGUCACACAGAUUAUUAAAUGUUGCUUGGACUUAUCACCCUGGGCAAGUUCCUUAGCAUCUGGAACUUUCUAUUUCCUGGCCUUAAAAUAGGAACAUCAACAGUAGCUGCUUUUUAGAAGUAUAAGGCUUAAUUACAAGAGAUGGUGGCAUGAUUAUCAUUCUUUUGAUAAAUGAUCAGGGUGGUGAAGAUAGUGGGUUCUUUAAAGGUUCUAGGAUAAAACAUAUGGAGAGAGUGUCUGUGCUCAUUACUGGGCCCAAGACACUCAUUUCAAAAAGGCUUAACUGGUUACUUCUCACACACAGUAUCACAGGUUGUAAUAUAUGUAAGAGAUAUUCCACAGUCUAUAGAAACAGAAGAACAGACACACAGUGGUCCCUUCCCACCCAUGGUCGUCACCUGUGCCUGAAGCUCUCACGGUCCUCUUUGUUAUACUCCAAGGCUGGCCCCCUGUUGGUCCCACUGUUGCCUCCCAUGACACCUGACCAGUAGUCGGGAUUGCUUUCCAGGUCUCCAGACAUAGGGAACUGCUUAUUCCGCAUCUGGUGGUAAGACUGGCGGAAAUUGCUGUCAUCAUCAUGCAGGGAGCUGAGUUCCGAGAUGGUGUUGUUAUCUGCAGGAACAAAAGCAGGCACCAUAGUUUUCUAAAUGGUUGGAAGGGAGUGCUGCUAAGGGCUGAGAUCGCAUUUUCCGGAAUCUUCUGCCUGGGAGCCCUGGUCCUGAGCAGUGUGAGCUGUAGAUGCUCACAGGUGAUAUUUGUGUUACUCAGCAGGAAUUGGCUCCAGCUCAAACCCAACUUGCUUACAGAGAGGGAGGCUUCCUACAUGCUGUUCUUGGAAUAGGGAGACAAUUGUCUUUGUUCUACCUAAGGCAGGCUUCCCGGACUCCCUUGUUCAAAUGUUUUUCUCUGUCCUAUAUAAUCACUGCGGUGAACUUCAAUGAUUCAGGCUAUGUUGGGCCAAGAGAGGAAGGGAAAAAAAGCCACUACUAAUAGCAUGUUCUCUACUGCUGGCCCAGUCCCAAAAGGGGGUCUUUAGAGCCAGUAUGAACCCCGUGCUUUAGAAGAGGCCCAUUCUGUUCUCCAAAUGGCUCAAAGUCAAGGUGAAGGACAUAUACCUUGGUUUCAGCUCACUUACCUUUUAGACCACGCUCCUGCUGUGUAAUGCCCUGCCCAAGGAUCACCAGACCUACAUAAGGCCUGGGUAGACCUGUUUCCCUCCCUACCAAAGGAUUGCAGGUGUUUGUGGUUGUGAGUGGCUAGGCCAGAAGUUUGGAAGGUGGACUUAGCCUUUGUGUCCACUGGGCUGUAGCUUGAACUCUAGCCCCUGCCUAAAAAAAGGAAGAAAGAUGCGGUCACAGAUUUCUCACUUCCUAGCUUUGUGCAGAAGUACUUAUGAACUAGGACUGGAGUUACGAUGUAGGCUAGAAAAAUAACAGAAAUUUCGAUUAUUUUAAAAAAAAACCUUAGAAAUAUAUUGAAUUUCCUUUUACUUAAACAAAUCUAGUGAACCUAUUUGUAAUGUAACUGAAUCCACUUGUUUUCUAAAUCUUUUAACUGAGACUUUGAAAAUAUUAUUAAAGACAACAUUUACUAGUC